Molecule: unclassified non-coding RNA, 350 nt
Filed under: rhizosphere metagenome
Description: partial ribosomal RNA internal transcribed spacer region
Source: RNAcentral
GUAGGUGAACCUGCGGAAGGAUCAUUAUUGAAUUAUGUUUUCUGGAUGGGUUGUAGCUGGCUCUUUGGAGCAUGUGCACGCCUGCCUGGACUUCAUUUUCAUCCACCUGUGCACCUUUUGUAGUCUUUUUCAGGUAUUGAGUGAAGUGGUCAGUCUCUCAGCUCUUUGCUGGAUGUAAGGACUUGCAGUGUGAAAACAGUGCUGUCCUUUACCUUGAUCAUGGAAUCUUUUUUCCUGUUAGAGUCUAUGUUAUUCAUUAUACUCUUAGAAUGUCAUUGAAUGUCUUUACAUGGGCUUUUAUGCCUAUGAAAAUUAUUAUACAACUUUCAGCAACGGAUCUCUUGGCUCUC